AGCAGUGGGGAAUAUUGGACAAUGGGCGAAAGCCUGAUCCAGCCAUGCCGCGUGUGUGAAGAAGGUCUUCGGAUUGUAAAGCACUUUAAGUUGGGAGGAAGGGCAGUAAAUUAAUACUUUGCUGUUUUGACGUUACCGACAGAAUAAGCACCGGCUAACUCUGUGCCAGCAGCCGCGGUAAUACAGAGGGUGCAAGCGUUAAUCGGAAUUACUGGGCGUAAAGCGCGCGUAGGUGGUUCGUUAAGUUGGAUGUGAAAUCCCCGGGCUCAACCUGGGAACUGCAUUCAAAACUGACGAGCUAGAGUAUGGUAGAGGGUGGUGGAAUUUCCUGUGUAGCGGUAAAAUGCGUAGAUAUAGGAAGGAACACCAGUGGCGAAGGCGACCACCUGGACUGAUACUGACACUGAGG
RNAcentral lists this ribosomal RNA (409 nucleotides) under uncultured bacterium. Its description in RNAcentral is "bacterial SSU rRNA". It matches the Rfam family "Bacterial small subunit ribosomal RNA", at positions 350 to 751 of the family's 1533-position model. The record is from RNAcentral.